CCUACGGGAGGCAGCAGUGGGGGAUAUUGCACAAUGGGGGGAACCCUGAUGCAGCGACGCCGCGUGGGUGAAGAAGCGCCUCGGCGCGUAAAGCCCUGUCAGCAGGGAAGAAAAUGACGGUACCUGAAGAAGAAGCCCCGGCUAACUACGUGCCAGCAGCCGCGGUAAUACGGAGGGGGCAAGCGUUAUCCGGAUUUACGGGGGUGAAAGGGGGCGCAGCCGGCGAUGCAAGCCAGGAGUGAAAGCCCGGGGCCCAACCCCGGGACUGCUCUUGGAACUGCGUGGCUGGAGUGCAGGAGGGGCAGGCGGAAUUCCUGGUGUAGCGGUGAAAUGCGUAGAUAUCAGGAGGAACACCGGUGGCGAAGGCGGCCUGCUGGACUGCAACUGACGUUGAGGCCCGAAAGCGUGGGGAGCAAACAGGAUUAGAUACCCCAGUAGUC
RNAcentral lists this ribosomal RNA (440 nucleotides) under uncultured bacterium. RNAcentral's name for it is "partial 16S ribosomal RNA". It matches the Rfam family "Bacterial small subunit ribosomal RNA", at positions 338 to 795 of the family's 1533-position model. The record is from RNAcentral.